AGUUUAGUUUGUUUGCAAACUAGGAAAUGAAAUGCCCAGAUUGACAAUGAGGGGCAUAUGCAGAUCCACAGGAACAAAGGCUGACGACGGACAGGAGUCAAGUUUCUGCUCCGGCUCAUCAUUUCAGCUCCACGGAGCCCAGAGGACACUGAGCACAAGGUAGAUGUGACAAAAACA
This 177-nucleotide long non-coding RNA is filed under the name Ictidomys tridecemlineatus (thirteen-lined ground squirrel). RNAcentral describes it as "lncRNA (ENSSTOG00000030390.1)". The record is from RNAcentral. Lineage: Eukaryota; Metazoa; Chordata; Mammalia; Rodentia; Sciuridae.